ACGCUGGCGGCAGGCCUAACACAUGCAAGUCGAGCGGUAGAGAGAAGCUUGCUUCUCUUGAGAGCGGCGGACGGGUGAGUAAUGCCUAGGAAUCUGCCUGGUAGUGGGGGAUAACGUUCGGAAACGGACGCUAAUACCGCAUACGUCCUACGGGAGAAAGCAGGGGACCUUCGGGCCUUGCGCUAUCAGAUGAGCCUAGGUCGGAUUAGCUAGUUGGUGGGGUAAUGGCUCACCAAGGCGACGAUCCGUAACUGGUCUGAGAGGAUGAUCAGUCACACUGGAACUGAGACACGGUCCAGACUCCUACGGGAGGCAGCAGUGGGGAAUAUUGGACAAUGGGCGAAAGCCUGAUCCAGCCAUGCCGCGUGUGUGAAGAAGGUCUUCGGAUUGUAAAGCACUUUAAGUUGGGAGGAAGGGCGGUAAAUUAAUACUUUGCUGUUUUGACGUUACCGACAGAAUAAGCACCGGCUAACUCUGUGCCAGCAGCCGCGGUAAUACAGAGGGUGCAAGCGUUAAUCGGAAUUACUGGGCGUAAAGCGCGCGUAGGUGGUUCGUUAAGUUGGAUGUGAAAUCCCCGGGCUCAACCUGGGAACUGCAUUCAAAACUGACGAGCUAGAGUAUGGUAGAGGGUGGUGGAAUUUCCUGUGUAGCGGUGAAAUGCGUAGAUAUAGGAAGGAACACCAGUGGCGAAGGCGACCACCUGGACUGAUACUGACACUGAGGUGCGAAAGCGUGGGGAGCAAAC
This 745-nucleotide ribosomal RNA is filed under the name uncultured bacterium. RNAcentral's name for it is "bacterial SSU rRNA". It matches the Rfam family "Bacterial small subunit ribosomal RNA", at positions 33 to 773 of the family's 1533-position model. The record is from RNAcentral.